RNAcentral lists this unclassified non-coding RNA (243 nucleotides) under uncultured Hyphodiscus. Its description in RNAcentral is "partial contains 5.8S ribosomal RNA, internal transcribed spacer 2, and large subunit ribosomal RNA". Lineage: Eukaryota; Fungi; Ascomycota; Leotiomycetes; Helotiales; Hyaloscyphaceae. The record is from RNAcentral.
AACGCACAUUGCGCCCCUUGGUAUUCCGGGGGGCAUGCCUGUUCGAGCGUCAUUACAACCCUCAAGCUAUGCUUGGUAUUGGGCUCCGCCGCUAACCCGGCGGGCCUUAAAAUCAGUGGCGGUGCCGUCAAGGCCCUGAGCGCAGUAAAUAUCCUCGCUAUAGGGACCCGGUGGACGCUGGCCAGCAACCCCCAACUUUCUAAGUUUGACCUCGGAUCAGGUAGGGAUACCCGCUGAACUUAA